Molecule: ribosomal RNA, 522 nt
Filed under: Megaphragma noyesi
Lineage: Eukaryota; Metazoa; Arthropoda; Insecta; Hymenoptera; Trichogrammatidae
Description: partial large subunit ribosomal RNA
Source: RNAcentral
AGAUCGAAUGGGGAGAUUCAUCGCCAGCUUUAACGGCUUGCGUGCUGCUCGCGAUGCUCGUCUUGGGGACGUGUUAAAGCGUUCUUUUUUGACGGGCACGCGGUAGCUGCGCAAUUUUGUGUCGUUGAAGUCGGUGUGCACUUCUCCCCUAGUAGGACGUCGCGACCCGUUGAGUGUCGGUCUAAGGCCCGCGAGGUUGACUGCCGGCGCGUUGAUUUUUCGAAAUUGACGUCGUCGGUAGACCCGCGGUCGCCCGACCGACUGCUCGGCGGUAUAAAUUGUUUGAAUGUUCAAUGGUAUCGAGCCGCAUUUUUUUAUGCGUUCUUUAUGACUCGUCGGCAGGUGAGCCUCGCCUCGGAUUUACGGACCUGGUGCCGUUGUCGAGCGAGUCGUUUGCCGUUUUGCCGACGAUGUUCUCGGACGGGCUCUAUAAAGGCGCGCGUUCGCGCGCGCCUUUUGUUACCAGUCAGCGACGCUACUGCUUUGGGUACUUUCAGGACCCGUCUUGAAACACGGACCAAG